This is a non-coding RNA of Lactuca sativa (garden lettuce), 6719 nucleotides long. Lineage: Eukaryota; Viridiplantae; Streptophyta; Magnoliopsida; Asterales; Asteraceae. The record is from RefSeq and is a predicted model, not a curated record.
CAUUCUCCCUUUUAUUUCAUUUCACCUUUUACUUUUUACAGCAUACAACGAAUUCCAAACCGCGCUUAUUUUUUUUACAGCAAACGACGAAAUCCACGAAAACGAAAACUUCAUCGAUCGAUGAUGGCAGGAAAACUCAGGGUUUUCUUGUUCCUUCUCGCAGUCGCACUUUCACUGACUUCACACUCAUCAUCCCACAACUUUACUCUCGACGACGACCCGAUUGAUUCUGAUGUUUUGGGGGCGAUAUUAGUAUCGCGAAUUUUCUUGAUUUUUUCUUACCUUUUUGUUUUUUUCUUCGAACAGGGAGUUGAAGACUUACUUCAUGGAUCGAUGAUGGCAGGAAAAUUCAUAGUUUUCUUGUUCCUCGCACUUGCACCGACUUCACACUUACAAUUCCACAACUUUAGCGUCGACGUUACUAUUGAUUCUGGUGUUCUUGGGGCGAUAUUAGUAUUGCCAAUUUUCUUGAUUUUUUCUUACCUUUUUGUUUUUUUCUUUGAACAGGGAGUUGAAGACUUACUUUAUGGAUCGAUAAUGGCAGGAAAAUUCAUAAUUUUCUUGUUCCUUCUCACAGUCGCACUUGCACCGACUUCACACUCAUCAUUCGACAACUUUAGUGUCGACGUUACUAUUGAUUCUGGUGUUCUUGGGGCGAUAUUAGUAUUGCGAAUUUUCUUGAUUUUUUCUUACUUUUUUGUUUUUUUCUUUGAACAGGGAGUUGAAGAUUUGUAUGACGAGGAGGAUUAUUCUUUACCAACAACACAUCAGCAAAUUGCUGUGCUCUCUAGCGAGGUUGAUAUUCAGGAUGAAAAUGCUGGUGGUGAUUUUACAAGUGUCUCCCUUACUUCAAGUUCAUGUUUAUCCAAACAAGGAGACAAGGAUUUUGCUACGUGGCCACAUAGGAAUGUUGAAGACCACAUAGGAAUCGACUGCAAAUCUGCUAGAGGUUCAAGUCAACAAACUAGUGGGUCCUUAGAACUGGGCAUCUCUGCUUCUUACAAUCCAAAAGUUGGAUCAGAUGCAGUCUUUGAAGUAAAUUCUGUAAAGAAGUUGGAUCCUAGGGAAUCAGAUGCUUUAGCCUUAAACCAAUCUUCUGAGUGCUGUAUUCUUGUUAAACCUAAGCAACUGAAGUUUGAUGAAAUGGAUGGAUGCAAUUCAAAUAAAGGUAGCAGUCUGCUUUCCAGGAUUAGAGAACUGUUGGGCAAUCCCUCAAUGGAUAUGGAUUCUGCUUCAUUAAAAGAUGAUAAAUCCAGUGAGCAGCAGUUGAAGUCUGCAAUGAUACGUUCUCAUGAGGAUUUUGAUGCGUGUACAAGUACAGAGACAAUGAAUAUCGAUUUGGACUUGGAUCUGAAUCCAUUGGUGGAGGAGAGUUUGCUUCCCAAGAACAGAAUGGUGAACCCUAAGGUUUCCCUGCAUGAUGCUGCUGCUGCUGUUUACUGUGAGGCAGCAUUUACUGAAGUGGAAAGAGCGGCUUCUGAAUCUGAUCAAACAAGCAAUGGUGAUGUUGAAGACUUUUAUUAUGAGGAUAUGGAUAUUUCAACCAGCACUGAUUAUGAGGAUAUGGAUAUUUCAACCAGCAUUGAUUAUGAGGAUAUGGAUAUUUCAACUAGCACUGAUUAUGAUUCGGUGACCAUAGCGGAUUAUUCUUAUCCAACACAGCAGCAAACUGACGAUUCGCUUCCUCCCUUUAAUACUUGGCAAACAAAGCAUUUUUGUUCAUCUCCUGUUGAUUUGGGAAAUCUCUGGGACAGGUCAACAUCGACUACAGAGAAUCCGUUAACAUCAUUUCUUCCACAUCCACAAAAACAAGCAGCUGCAGUUUGGCCAGGUAGGAGAGGAGACAUUAAAGUGAAGGCGUUAGUGGCAGCUAAGGCUGCAAAAAUACGCCAAGAAAAACAGGAGAAUGAGAGGAACUGGAAGAAAGAAGCAUUUCGGAUGGAGAUAGCGAGGCGCAAAAAAAGAAAAAAGCAGAAAGAAGGGAAGGAAAAAAAAAGCAGGAGGAAAUGGUUCCUAGAGGCCUGAACAUCCACAAAAAGAAAACCAUGUAAUGGUCAAUUUUGGAUUUUUUUUUUUUUUUUUUAAUUUGUGAUGAAAUGGCUUGGCCUCCUUUGCAGCAAGUUGGCAGAUGGUUAUAUAAUUUGGCUAUAAGGUCCUUGAAAGUAGUUUAUUAGGAAAAACAUUUGAUCCUAGACUUUGUAGAACAUACAACAAUAGAAAACUAGGAUUUUGUAUACUCAUGCUCCAAUGAAGCAGAAUGUCACAGCAAUUCGGCUCAAUGGAGUAUUAGUUGUUUGAUAAUAGAUGCUGCUGCAUUGCAUGCAUGUCGUUCAGAGUUUAAUAAAGAGGUAAAUGUAGAAAUUUCAUCUAUUAAAUCACUAUGUUUUAGUUCCUUAAACUUAAAUACCAAGUAAUCGUCGUCGAGGGAAUUGAAUUGAGGUAAAGGAAGGAUGACAAGAAUUCUGCUCCAGUCCUGUUGAAGAUGUUACAUACAUACAUCCACAAAAACAAAACCACAUACAUAUAUUAGCAGAAAAGAGUGGGGGAUUUUGAGCAACAGUUAAAUAAUCAUAUUCUGUUGUUACUUGUUACUCCUAAAGUAGGACUCUUCCAACUAACAAGCCAAGCCAAGCCAAGCCAAGCCAAGCCAGUUGUUGACUAUCAAACGACUGACUGUGUUGAAGUUGAAGAGAACAGGGACAUUUGGCAUAUAUAAUGAAGCAAGUAUUAUUAUGUUGGAAGCUCAAAGCUCAAAGCUCAUCUCAUGAGUUGACCAUGAGUCAAAAUUAAGUAUGGAUUACCUGUUAUGAAAAGGUGUGUUAUAAAAAGUAAAUUAAUGGGAACAGCUUGCUUAUCCAUCUUUUGUACAAGCCAAUUUCGAUCUCUAACAUGGAAUGUGGAAGGAAGGUUUGUCAUAGUACAAUGCUGCCUAUAAUGAUGUUUUAUCAUCUCAUUCUCAUCUGAGGACCCCAACCGGAUUAAGCAACCUCCGGGCCCGUUUGUCCACCUGGCUGAUCACUCCUCCCGUAUGGACACUAGGCCAUGAAAGCUGCAUAAAAAAAGGUCACGUGUCAUUUCUUAUCAUCUGUAUGUUAUAUGCUGCUGCUUUGAUAAUAUGAAAAGGGUUAGGCUAGGCUUAAAUUGUUAAAAUAUGUUUCUUAGUCGGUAGGAAAAAAGAUUACCAUUUUGCCCUUGCAAGUUUCAAACUAACUGGCAUUGAGAGUUUUGUUUUUUUUACAAUCACUUCUAAUUACCAUUAUGCCCUUGCAAGUUUCAGCUGCCAAGAAAACUAAAUGGCACCGAGUUUUUUGUUUUCCUUCAAUAUUUAGCUUGCAGUUAAUUUUUUUCUAUAUAAUUUUGAUUUUUUGUUGCAGUAGCAGUGUACAAACAUGGAAGAAGAAGAAGAAGAAGAAGAAGGAGGAGGAGGGGAGGUCUAGGGUUGGAUUCAAAUGAAAAAUUGUGUUUCUUAUGCCCUUGUAAGUAUGAUUAUGAUUUCUUCAGUUGAUUAGUUUUAUUGUGAUGUUAAAGUAUGGAUUUGAAUUAUGAAAAGUUGUGCAUGAGAAACCAAAAUUGCAGGUAAUAAUGUACUUUAUUUAGUUAAAAGUCCUCUUGCUUAUUAUUUGUCUCUUUUAAAUUCUUCUGUUGGUUGGUUAUUCCUAGCAGCUGGGUAUGUUUAAUAAUUUUUAAACCGACUCACUCAGAAACAUUUGAUUUGAUUUCAUUGUUUCAGGACAUACAUAGAGUUAUCGAAGGAGAUAAAUGAAUGAAUCUUUCAAGAAAUCAUCUCAAAAGACAUACAUAGAGAUAUCAAAGGAGAUAAAUGAAUGAAUCUUUCAAGGAGUUAUCUCUCAAGUUUUGACAAAACUAUCUUCCAGAAUCUAAUCUAGAUAAGUGUCCAUGUCCUAGAAACUAAGUUGGGUAUGGUAUAUUUAAUAAUUUUUAAAAAUUUAAUUUGACUCAGAAACAUUUGAUUUCGUUGUUUCAGGACAUACAUAGAGUUCCUGAUUUCAGUCAGUUUGUAAUACACAUUCUACUAACAGAGUGUUUCAAUCAUUCAGUAAAUAGUCUCUCUCAAUUCAGUUCUACCCUAGUCUAUAUCACACAAUGCAGUCUGUUCUAAUAAAUAAAAAUCCUUUUGCCACUUGUCAACUUCUUAGGUGUUUUGACAAAUGUCAUUUUCUCAUAUUUUUCAAUUUUUUCCUUCUACCUUCUAAAAUUGACAUGUGUAUUUUUUUUUUAAAAACAAAUAUGAUUCUCUGUGGCGCGUAAUAUGGGCUUUAUUUGAGGUCCCACAUAUCAGCAACCAAUUGAAUCUAUAACGUGUUUUCUCAAAUCAAUUGCCUUAUUUUCCUCAGACCAUUGUUGCAUUCCAAAUUCACAUCCCAUACAACAUACUUUCUGUAUCCAUUUUACUCUCACAACAUUUUUUCUUCAAUUUAGUAAACAGGAGAAUUGCUUUCAUAUUAACUCUCCCGUAAAUCAUCUCCUCAAUUUGAAUUUGAAUUUUUAAUGAAGUAAAUUGAUAGAGUUCCCAUAUAUAGGCUCUAUUUUCGAGUCGUUAAUCUCUGUUGAUACGUGAGAUCCCAAUUUUUGUGGAACAAAAUGAAUUCCAUAUUGAAAUCACUCUAUAAAUUCGAUUACUGUUCUGGCUAUUAUUCACACCUUGGUUUUCUUCUUCAAUUCAUUCGUCAUCUAGGUUUCUUCUUUAAUCUGAUGUUCUUAAUUUUUAUUAAUUGUAUUCGAUUUUUUAUUAUCAUGAAUGUGUGUUGUAUCUGAUUGCCUUCUUAACCUUGCAUUUGAUGUUGCACUCUAUGUGAUUGAUAAAAUGCCCAUGAGAUAUUUGUUCUUAUCAAAUGCUAUUACAGACUAUUGUCUGUAAUUUUGUGCUACUUACCACGUGUGUGUGUGUGUGUUUUUGUGAUUCCUAGCUUUCCUGCAUUUUGUUUGGGUUAAAUCAUAAACUUGGUUAGCUUACUCAUCCUGGAAGAAAAGAAAGAUCAACUAUUUCAUAAUAAAAAAUAGUUGAUAUCUUGGAUAUUGUAUCUAUAUCAGCAUGUUAAGAUUUGACUGUACCAUUUGGUGUAUUUUUGAGCAAACCAUGGGUUUUCACUCUCAUUUAGUUUCUUUAUGCUAUAGUUAUAUGGGAAGAAAAGUGAUUAUGCUAAAGGAAUUUUCAGCCCUUUUUCUUUUUUUGUUAUUUGUUAGUUGACAUCACUUCUAAAUAGAAAGGUACUUUCAACAAUAAUCUUUAGUCCAAAUAUCAAAUUGAGGAAAUGACUUUUAAUUUCCUUUUAUGUGAUUUUAGGUCAAAAAGUUCAUUUACUCUUUGCUACUUAGAGAUAGAUCAUUUGCACUUAUUGGAUUCAGUUUUUUACUACAACCGAAAAUUUUGAUUUUUGACUUUAGAAAUACCAAGUUUCUGGACAUAACAGCUUAUGUGCAUGGCUAUUAGUAAUAUAAUUUUGAAAAAAAUAAACCCUUUUCUUUAGGAGGGCAUGGGUUAAGUGUUGUUCCACCACAAAAGUUGAUCUUAAUUUCAAGAAACACAAUUGAAGAUCUACCUGUUGAACUUUCUUCAUGUGCUUCCCUCCUCGCCCACUUUUUAAUCCAAAUAUGAAAAGUAUCAGUGGUAAUUAAUUAUUAAAGGAUUAUUGUUCUUGCAGACUUUGAUUUUGAUUUUGAUCAAGGAACAAGUGUAAUCUUGAAGUCACUUCAACAUCUAGUGUGUGUGUGUGUUUAAAACUGGAUAGUAAUGAUUCCAUCAGAUGGGUUUGAAGCUCUACUAAAUGGUGUCUGUGGUUGCACCACACCACACCAAACUAAUAUUGCAUUGCAGGACAUACAUAGAGAUAGGGUUAUCAAAGGAGAUAAAUGAAUCAAUCUUUCAAAAAAUCAUCUGACAAAACUACCUUCCGAAUCCACCAUUUCUAAUGAAUCAAGUUCAAACCCUAUCCCACCAACCCAAACCAGAGAGUAUCAAAAUUUACAGCCAUCAUUCAAACGCUAUAAUGAUGUUUUAUCAUCUCUUCUGUAGCAGUGUACAAACUUGGAAGAAGAAGAAGGAGGAGGAGGGGAGGUCUGGCGUUGGAUUCAAAUGAAAAAUUGUGUUUCUUAUACAGACAUACAUAGAGUUAUCAAAGGAGAUAAAUGAAUGAAUCUUUCAAGAAAUCAUCUCAAGUUUUGAGAAAACUAUUUUCCAGAAUCUAAUCUAGAUAAGUGUCCAUGUUCAUGUCGUAGCAACUAAGUUGGGUAUAGUAUAUUUAAUAAUUUUUAAAAAUUUAAUAUGACUCUUUAACAUUUGAUUUUGUUGUUUCAGGACAUACAUAGAGAUAUCAAAGGAGAUAAAUGAAUGAAUCUUUCAAGGAAUUAUCUCUCAAGUUUUUGACAAAACUACCUUCCAGAAUCUAAUCUAGAUAAGUGUCCAUGUCCAUGUCCUAGCAAAAAUAGCAAUUGGGUGUGGUAUGUUUAAUAAUUUUUAAAAUUUUAAUCUGAUGCUUAAAUUGUUGUUUGAAUGUAGGUACUGUUUGUGGGAAAAGUAAUUCUGACUUGGUCCCGUGUUGAUCUUGUCGAUAGGAAUAAGUGGCUUAGUUGCCACCACUUUAGGAGCACACUUUUGUUGCAGUUUAGCUUUGCAGCUUUGUUUUGUCCUCUAUUUAAGUAUUGUAGCUUUCCUUUGUUUAGGUGUAUUCAGAAAUAAAAGAAACCUCUGUUACUUACUC